GAUGAACGCUAGCUACAGGCUUAACACAUGCAAGUCGAGGGGAAACGACAUCGGAAGCUUGCUUUUGAUGGGCGUCGACCGGCGCACGGGUGAGUAACGCGUAUCCAACCUGCCCACCACUUGGGGAUAACCUUGCGAAAGUAAGACUAAUACCCAAUGAUAUCUCUAGAAGACAUCUGAAAGAGAUUAAAGAUUUAUCGGUGAUGGAUGGGGAUGCGUCUGAUUAGCUUGUUGGCGGGGUAACGGCCCACCAAGGCGACGAUCAGUAGGGGUUCUGAGAGGAAGGUCCCCCACAUUGGAACUGAGACACGGUCCAAACUCCUACGGGAGGCAGCAGUGAGGAAUAUUGGUCAAUGGGCGAGAGCCUGAACCAGCCAAGUAGCGUGCAGGAUGACGGCCCUAUGGGUUGUAAACUGCUUUUAUAAGGGAAUAAAGUGAGCCUCGUGAGGCUUUUUGCAUGUACCUUAUGAAUAAGGACCGGCUAAUUCCGUGCCAGCAGCC
RNAcentral lists this ribosomal RNA (501 nucleotides) under uncultured bacterium. RNAcentral's name for it is "bacterial SSU rRNA". It matches the Rfam family "Bacterial small subunit ribosomal RNA", at positions 28 to 516 of the family's 1533-position model. The record is from RNAcentral.